Long non-coding RNA from Equus caballus (horse), 2757 nucleotides. Lineage: Eukaryota; Metazoa; Chordata; Mammalia; Perissodactyla; Equidae. The record is from Ensembl.
GCAUGAUGAGGAGAAACCUGAAAGAUGAUUGCAAAGCCACUGUCACACUGUGAACAAUUAGAAGAUGAAGAAGAGGUUCUCGAGAAGCAGCCAGUCCAUGAGCGAGGGAAGAGGCAGUGUGAGGGAUGGAAGAGGAAAGCUUGGCCGGACUCAGAAAUGUCCUCUGUGAACAGUGAAGCCAAAAUAGGUUUCCUGUUGGACUGAACUCAAGAGUAGGGUCUGGAGAAAGUGAGCAAAAGAACCUCCUUUCUCUGGCUGAAGGAACUCAGAGCAAGAACUCCAAUACUCACUGGGAUAAGAGCUGGAAACAAGAAAUAAAAGGAGAUGCCUGUGCUAGGAAAGGCUUGUAGGGGGAGCUAUCUGCCACAGCUAAGCAAGGUCGAACAUCUACUUGAAACUUGUAUAGACCAGAAUGGAGUUCCGGUCCAGAGCUCCCUCAUACCAGACGAGUGGAGCCCCACAGAAACGGAAGUUUUCUUCUUUGUAACCUCAGUCCCUGGAAGUAUUUAGCAUUGAAUGAUCCGUGGGUCGUUGUCUCAGAGGGGAAGAAGGGAAGAAGAUACGGCUGAAGUCCUUUAUAGGGUCAUUCUCCUGCGCUGACAGUCCAGCCUACUCAGUCCGGCCUGGAGGAGGAAGCCCAGAUCUAGAGAAGAAAAAACAGUGGUUGGAGUUUAAGAGGGUUGCCUGGAGUCCCACAGCCACUGGUGGCUCAGAUGGACCUUAAACCCACAACAUCAGAGACAUCGAGCCAACACUCUCCUAUAAACAUUCUUAAUAAAUUAAACCCGUUCACGAGGAAUGAAGCACGAGACAGAAGAGUGAGUGUGCCGAUUAAAACUCAAGAAGGCACAUUUCUCCAAUCAUGACCUGGGAGUCCUGGAGCCUUGCGUGCAAGCUGAGCCAUAACCCAAGGCUUAACAUAAACUUUGGACUCUCAGGUCAUUGGGAAAUAACAGGUAUAUCCGGUUGGGCCUUUUGUGCUUGUCUGCACGCAAAUUAAAAGCUCGUGCAAAGCUGAACUCCUUGGAGCCUCUGGUUAGGGAGAAGGGAGGGUGCCUUGGAAGAGAAUUCUCACACGAUCUCCCUGUUUAUUUUUUCAGGGAAUCAGGGGAUAGAGCUUGUUUAUGAGGAGUUUGCACCUCUGGGAGGCUGAGCUCAGAAGGGGCGGGAUGUGGUGGUGGCCUUGAGCCAGAUGGUCCGUGGGGGAGCAAUGCUCCAAAGGAUCCCAAGUCAGAGCUUUGAAAGGGCACAGUUCUUACAGACCUUCAGGGAGCGGGUGGAGGUGGGGGGCCAAUGCCCGUGCCUCCCUGCUGGUGGUAACAGUGGAAGAGAGCUUGCAGGGGCAGAGCUGAGUGGGGAGGGCCACAGGAGGGGGCCUGAAACCAAGGGGCCAUGCACCCAGGCACCAAGAGCUGUCACCUUGGCUCCCCCCUUCCCUUUGGAUGACCCCAAUAUGAUGAGGCUCUGAAGCCUCCAGGGGGCCGGUUGGAGUGGGAAAGGAGUGUCCACUCUGUGCCCAGGCUUCCUCCAAUGGGAAGCUGAAUGAUCACGUCUCCAGCCCUUGAACUGCGGGGAUUUUCUCCAUCCGGAGUUGGCCCACCUGGUGUGGCUGGGAGGCAGAAGAGAGUUUUUGGGGUCUGGAAGACCUGAAUUCAAGUUUCAGCUUGGGUGUCACAGGAGCUGUGUGACUUUGGUUGAUAACUCCACCUUCUCCCACCUUGCUGUAUUUGUUUGUAGAAAAGGGAUUAUGGUAAUAGUCACCUCCAAAGGUUGGUUGUGAGCGAUUAAUGAGAUGAUUUAUGUCAAGUGCUUGGCACACUGCCUGGCUCAAAGUGCUAAAUAAAUGGUAGAUCUGACAUUAUUAGUAGUAUAUUAUUAUUGCUACUAUUGCUGUUAUUGGCAGAGCUGCCAUUCAAAUUGCCACUGCAAUUACAGGCUGUGGCUCAGAUGCCCUAAGCCCUCUAAGAUCACACCUAAGGGGGACACCCUCCCACCCCGACCUCUUGCACUGUGCCAUGCUCAGACACCUGAUUCAGAUACUUUCAGGGCUCUGGGCAGCGGAGAUUUGGGUACCUUGGUUUCUCUCAUCUUCCUGAUCCUGCUUAGGGGUUAAGGUACAACAUCAUCCUGGCCAGCCCCUGCGGGUGGUACCACUGCAACAGCCUGGAGGGGUUGCAGCGCUGUUUAAAUGUGCCCACACUUGUCUCCAGGGCUUUCCUCCUCAGAUCGGUAGCUGGGGCAUCACUCCCUCUGAAAUCCAUCCCCACGCCCACCAACUUCCCAUACCAAGACUAUAGCCCUUUAGCUAUUUCUUGGAUGGAGAUACUCGCAAGAAAAAUCACACUUUUAAGCUUAAAGAGCUGUUCCCAAAGUGUGGUCCAGGGACUUCUUGGGAGAGUGGGUGGUCCCUGAGACUCCUUCAGGAGAUCCACAAGGGUAAAACUAUGGUCAUAAGGUAUUCUUUGCCUUUCUCACUCUCUGUCACAAGUUUACCAGGGGUCUCCCAGGGGCCACAUGAUAUUUGAUAUCGCUAAUGUUGAAUGCAGAAUCAGAUAGGGGUCUUCAGUUGUCUUCUGUUAAGUCAGAAAUUAAAGAGAUUUGUAAAAAUGUAAAACAAUGCCACUCUUACUAAAUAUUUUUGGUGUUAGAAAAUACAGUUAUUUGCCAAAUGUUAUUUAUGUUAACAUGAACUAGGUUUAUUAUUUUUUAAUGAAUAAAUAUUUUACAUUUUGUUCCAUUUUCAUUUCUAAAAUUGUA